CGGGCGUUGGGCGCGCACCCCGCCCCGUCUCCAUGGAGACCGCUUGCCAGCCUCCCAACAGCCCACCGGCUGCGCGGCCCCGGGGACCAGACGCGCGGAUCCUCAAGCCCGGAGACGCAUGUCAACACGGGGACCCCCCAGACCCCCUUCUCGACAGGCCCAGGAAGGGGCGGGGGGGAGUCUCUCGUUUAACAAAGGGUCGAUGCUGGGGCAGGUUUGGGAAAAGGAAUUGACCCAAAGCCUGGAGAGCUUGGACCCCUGGGUCCUGUUGCUGGUCCAGGACCUGCACUGGAGCUUUCCUGCCACAGGUCCUCCUGAGGCCUUGCCAAGGUUUCCCUGGGGUGGCACCGAGGCCAGACCCCAGGACUUCGUCCCCUGGGCACAGAUCCCUCUGGUCACUCCCCACGGGGCUGCACUGGACGAGGCUCUGAGAUGAGGUUCUGUGAAGGACGCUGCAAGACUCCCCCCGACGCCGCCGGGCAGCCACCAGGGAAGGCGUCCCGCUGUGGGGACCGCUUGCCCCCAUAGAUCCCAGCCAGGCUAUGGCAGAAGCUCUGCAAAGCUGACCUUGGUCUUUGACCUCUGCCUGGUAGACUCAGAGAACAGCCUAGGCCACAUCUACGCCCGCCAAGGAGACCAACUGCUGGUUUCCUCCCAAGACCCGCACCCUGCACAGAUUUUUAGAUGUCCACAGCCCCAGUAGAGGACUGGCUAACCUGAAAGCUGACUUCUCCCGGGAUAUGGCCAAGUGACCGCUGGUGCACACCUGACCUGUCACUGCACCAACCACUAGAGCUGGCUUCCAGAGUGACCUUUUAACUGGUCCUCACUGGCCACUCCCGAUGCUGCCUUCAAGGCCUGUACAGUCGGCACCUGCUGGCCUUUGUAUGUCAGGAAUCCACGCCACCAGCCCCUGUGGUGACACCGGACACUGGGGACCAGAGCUUUGCAGAUUUGCCUGAUGGUAAACCACCAGAGAUCUGUCCUCGUGUGGAACCACCACACUGCACACCUCUGUGCCUUUCUUGUCCACCUGUCUGGGAUGCUUUUCUAUUCCAAUUUUGUCCCAGGAAACAAAAAAAAGUCCAAACCAAAACAGAAGACAACAAAAGCAUUAAUUAAUUUUAUCUGUCCCGGUGUUCACAGACUUACAGGCCUACCUGGCCAGGUAGAAAAUAUCAAUGAAUGAGAUGGUUUGCGAGGGACUGGUGAUCUGAGGGGCACAGUGCGCCCAUAAGGGGGCAAUGAGCCCAGCGCCCGCUGCUAUGCCAGGUAGAAGGCAGGCCCCGGGCUGCAGAACACUCUGAAGACAAGUGGCAAAACGACAUUUUUUUAGUCUAUAAUCUCUUCUUCUCUCAACAUUAUUCAAAAUUCAGAUUAAAAGACUUCCCUGGUGGCACAGUGGUUAAGAAUCCGCCAGCCAGUGCAGGGGACACGGGUUCGAGCCCUGGCCCAGGAAGAUCCCACAUGCCGUGGAACAGCUGAGCCCGUGCGCCACCACUAUUGAGCCAGCGUUCUAGAGCCCGCGAGCCACAACUACUGAGCCCACGUGCUGCAACUACUGAAGCCCACACGCCUAGAGCCCGUGCUCUGCCAUGAGAGAAGCCACCGCAAUGAGAAUCCCGCGCACCACAACGAAGAGUAGCCCCCGCUCGCCGCAACUCCAAGAAAGCCCAUGCGCAGCAACGAAGACCCAACACGACCAAAAAUAAAUAAAUAAAAUUAAAAAAAAAUUAGAUUAAAGAAAAAAUUGUAAGAAGUAAGACAAGGCACGUCUGCAGCUCAGGGUUGACCUGCCUGGCUUGCUAGCCUGGACUUCAGCGCAGAUUCAGCCCUGUCUGCCCGUGAUCUUAUGAAAACUCCACUUAAGCCUGCUGUGUGCAGACCCCCUGGACACUGUUCUUUGCAUGUGCCUGAGCCCCAGAGAUCCCUCCGUGUUACUGGCCGGCUGGGGGCUCCUCAGGGUGGGACCCUGCCUGGCCCAGCUCCCUCACCUGCUUCUCCCUGAGGAGCAAGGGCUGCCCAAAGAUUCUUUACCAAACUGAUCCUGCAACCAGUCUAGAAGGAGAUGGAGAGGGAGGUGGGGGUCUCUGGGCCUCUCAGCACCAGGUGCCAGGCCAGCCGCGGGGUGCACUCUUCCUGCUUUGAGUUUGGCCCCAGACUUGUGAGCCGACUUUCUCAAAAGCCCCUCCCACCCCCUGGACCUAGAGGUCAGCGUGGAAAGAGCAGCACAGCAGCUUGGCUUCCAAGGCAGCAUCCGCGCAGUACUGAGAUUCCCAAACUCAGCCCUGAAAAUCUGCACCUCGUUCCUGGCCCCUUUCUGGAUGGUUUAUGUGCUACCCCGCGAUGUGCACUUGUGCGUAAGCCAGCGCCCUGCUCUGGGGCCCCAGCGGGCAGCUCAGGGCCCUGUUGCUCCGGGGAGCCCUGGGCGCCUCCAGGUCCAGGUGUGACUUCCCAGGGGGACGGUUCCUGCGCACAGUGAGGGGCGUGUGACGGUAGCUCCUCGGGCUUCAGGCCUUGACUGAGAAGGGAAGGGGGUUUCUCUCUUCCCCUUUCCAGAAACGUACAAAACAGAAGUAGAAACCAACUGCUGUGCCCUCUAAUACUUGUCUGCUGCCAACCCGUCAUCUUGCAGGACCACGGACACUGGAACACGAUGACCACGGUGACGCCGGCUCCUUUCCUAGUUCCCUAAGGAGCCUUGGGCCACGGCCUCUGCUGAUUGGUCACAAUCCAGAAGAGUGGUUCUCAACCUGGCUGCACACUCAGAUCACCUGGUGAGCUUUAAAAACUCCCAGCGCCUUCUCCCAGGACAGUGAAAUCCACAGUGCCAAAGGAUCUUAGUUCCCCGACCAGGGAUUGAAUCUGUUCCCCUUGCAGUUGAAGCAUGCCGUCCUAACCACUGGACCACCAGGGAAUUCCUGUGGACUUCUUAAUGAUGGCCAUUCUGACUGAAGAACUUGGCCCACACCCUAGAAUGCAGGCCUCUGGAGAGAGGGAGGUGCUCUGAGAAGCAAGCUACAAUGCGGGGCAGGUCCUGGGGGCACAGCUGCCUGGCUCCACACCCAGGACACAGGGAAGGCAUGGCGGGUUGUACUGGGAAGAAGGAGAGAAGGUCUGCUCACCUAAGGAUGCCACAGCCCCGAAAGGAGCACCUUCCAGAACAAAGGUAAAGUCCCUAGGACAGGUCUGGUAGGAUUUUCCUUUUCCUUUCUCUCUUGUACGUGGAUGCUGAUCUAAUAAGGGAGUUUCAAAGUGUGGAGCAGAGAAAAAAAAGAAAAA
Long non-coding RNA from Orcinus orca (killer whale), 3282 nucleotides. RefSeq lists it as uncharacterized. The record is from RefSeq and is a predicted model, not a curated record. Lineage: Eukaryota; Metazoa; Chordata; Mammalia; Artiodactyla; Delphinidae. The transcript is spliced from 3 exons.